Molecule: ribosomal RNA, 450 nt
Filed under: uncultured bacterium
Lineage: Bacteria
Description: partial 16S ribosomal RNA
Rfam family: Bacterial small subunit ribosomal RNA
Source: RNAcentral
GUGGGGAAUAUUGGACAAUGGGCGAAAGCCUGAUCCAGCCAUGCCGCGUGUGUGAAGAAGGUCUUCGGAUUGUAAAGCACUUUAAGUUGGGAGGAAGGGCAGUAAGUUAAUACCUUGCUGUUUUGACGUUACCAACAGAAUAAGCACCGGCUAACUUCGUGCCAGCAGCCGCGGUAAUACGAAGGGUGCAAGCGUUAAUCGGAAUUACUGGGCGUAAAGCGCGCGUAGGUGGUUCAGCAAGUUGGAGGUGAAAUCCCCGGGCUCAAACUGGGAACUGCAUCCAAAGCUAAUGAGCUGGAGUACGGUAGAGGGUAGUGGAAUUUCCUGUGUAGCGGUGAAAUGCGUAGAUAUAGGAAGGAACACCAGUGGCGAAGGCGACUACCUGGACUGAUACUGACACUGAGGUGCGAAAGCGUGGGGAGCAAACAGGAUUAGAAACCCGGGUAGUCC